AGGGGUGUAGCUCAGUUGUAGGACAUAUGCCUUGCUUGCAGAGGGCAAUGGGUUCAAUUCCCAGCAUCUCAA
Molecule: non-coding RNA, 72 nt
Organism: Podarcis lilfordi (Lilford's wall lizard)
Lineage: Eukaryota; Metazoa; Chordata; Lepidosauria; Squamata; Lacertidae
Source: the annotation of a GenBank genome assembly